RNAcentral lists this ribosomal RNA (449 nucleotides) under uncultured bacterium. RNAcentral describes it as "partial 16S ribosomal RNA". It matches the Rfam family "Bacterial small subunit ribosomal RNA", at positions 354 to 796 of the family's 1533-position model. The record is from RNAcentral.
GUCGAGAAUCUUUCACAAUGGGGGCAACCCUGAUGGAGCGACGCCGCGUGGAGGAUAAGGUCUUCGGAUUGUAAACUCCUGUCAUGCGUGAACAAGGUUGCUUGGAUAAUACCUGAGCAAAUUGAUGGUAGCGCAAGAGGAAGAGACGGCUAACUCUGUGCCAGCAGCCGCGGUAAUACAGAGGUCUCAAGCGUUGUUCGGAAUAACUGGGCGUAAAGGGUGCGUAGGUGGCGUGGCAAGUAAGAUGUGAAAUCACGGGGCUCAACGUCGGAACUGCAUCCGAUACUGCCAUGCUAGAGUACUGGAGGGGUGACUAGAAUUCUCGGUGUAGCAGUGAAAUGCGUAGAUAUCGAGAGGAAUACCAAAGGCGUAGGCAGGUCACUGGACAGUUACUGACACUGAGGCACGAAGGCCAGGGGAGCGAACGGGAUUAGAAACCCCGGUAGUCC